UACGGAGGAUCCACGCGUUAUCCGGAAUCAUUGGGUUUAAAGGGUCCGUAGGCGGGAUAAUGAGUCAGUGGCGAAAGUCUGCAGCUCAACUGUAGAAUUGCCUUUGAUACUGUUGUUCUUGAGUGUUGAUGAAGUGGUUAGAAUAUGUAGUGUAGCGGUGAAAUGCAUAGAUAUUACAUAGAACAACGAUUGCGAAGGCAGAUCACUAACAAUAUACUGACGCUGAUGGACGAAAGCGUAGGUAGCGAACAGG
RNAcentral lists this unclassified non-coding RNA (253 nucleotides) under uncultured Flavobacteriaceae bacterium. RNAcentral's name for it is "contains 16S-23S intergenic spacer region". It matches the Rfam family "Bacterial small subunit ribosomal RNA", at positions 524 to 776 of the family's 1533-position model. Lineage: Bacteria; Pseudomonadati; Bacteroidota; Flavobacteriia; Flavobacteriales; Flavobacteriaceae. The record is from RNAcentral.